RNAcentral lists this transfer RNA (67 nucleotides) under Concaveplana rufolineata. RNAcentral's name for it is "tRNA-Pro". Lineage: Eukaryota; Metazoa; Arthropoda; Insecta; Hemiptera; Cicadellidae. The record is from RNAcentral.
CAGUAUAUAUUUUAUUUAAAAUAUAAAUUUUGGGUAUUUAAGAUACGUUAAUAAUACGUUUUACUGA